This 63-nucleotide transfer RNA is filed under the name Eurytrema pancreaticum. RNAcentral describes it as "tRNA-Leu". Lineage: Eukaryota; Metazoa; Platyhelminthes; Trematoda; Plagiorchiida; Dicrocoeliidae. The record is from RNAcentral.
CAGAGGUGCCAGAUUAUAUGGGGUUGGUUUAGGUCCAGUUUAUGGUGUUGUUUCCCUCUCUGG